Marmota monax (woodchuck) is the source of this 24992-nucleotide long non-coding RNA. RefSeq lists it as uncharacterized. The record is from RefSeq and is a predicted model, not a curated record. NCBI's taxonomy places the organism in Eukaryota, Metazoa, Chordata, Mammalia, Rodentia, Sciuridae. The transcript is spliced from 8 exons.
GCACACUGCAGAGCUGCAGGACAAGCUGUGGGUUUCUGGCAUCAGCCCUGCGGCUGGAGGCAUGGCAGGUUUCCUGCCCAAUACCCACUGCUUCUAAGGCCUGCUGCCGCCACCCAGGCAUCUCUUACUCUCUGCACACUGUCUUGGGACAGCCGGCUCUAGGAAUUCUCGCUAUGGCACUCGAUUCAGCCAGGAGACAGGUGAUGCGUAAUGCUGUCAGAAAGCAUGUGCUGGUGAAGAAAUACAUUGAGCCCUGCUUGGUCCAGUGAGGUUAUUAGUGAAUUGGGAGAGGCUCAAAUCAGCAUGCAAACUAUUGUGAAAUUUUGACAGGUUCUUGCUAAGUUGCCAAGAGUCUUGCGAAGUUGCUCAGAUUGGCUUGAAACUUGUGAUCCUCCUGCUUCAGCCUCUGGAGUUGCUGGGAUUACAAGUGUGUACCACCACACAUGGCUCUGCCUGCUCAGCAAAUUCACCAGAGUGCCAGGAUCAAUCACUAUUUCUGAGGAUAUCCUGGUGAGGCAGUUUGGAAACCUUGGCUGAAUUGUGAAGGCAUAUCUUUGAAAAGUGUUUCAGAGUCCAGCAAAUGUUCCAUGUGAGUGACCACAUAGAAGAAGAGAAGGGGGUUCGCAGUGAUUAAGGAUCUUGUGAGAGAGACUCUAUGGUCUGUAGAGCCUGAGGUAUUAUCAUGUGACUCUUUAUAGGAAGUUUGCCAACUCCUGGUAUAGGUUAAAUGUAUUAUGUCCAAAAUCGUCCUUAUCCCACUUUCUUUAUAUGGGGUAUGUGUUUACAGCUGAUCCUAGGAUAUAUGGAAUCAAUUUGCUUUUUAAUUUCUUUUCAAACUCUCCAAGAAAGUACAUUCACAAAUUAUAAAUUUAAGAAAUAUAUAGAAGGAACUAUGUUUUAUAUGCUUCCUUGUAGUUAAUUUAUUUAUUAUAUAUGGUUCUUGCAUUACUUCUUUUUUUUAUAACCAUUUUAAAAUUAGGCCAUUCAUAAGUAUCCAGAAAGUUAUAACUUAUGAUCCCUACUUUAACCUUUUCCUGAUUUUAGUAUACUUCCCCACUGUGGCUUUUUUGCAUAUUUCUGCAGAUGUUUUGACUUUUCUGGGGAGAAAAGUCACCUUAGAACAUAAUUUUCUGUAGUUCUAUAUUGGGGAAAUAUGCAACUUAUAGCUUUUUGUGCAUUUAAUGCCAUUUAUUGAGCAUCUACUAGGAGCCUAUGCAUACUUUCAUAGAAUCUGCUCAAACCCAAAGAUUUGCAUGUUAAUCAGUUAUCUAGUUAUCUAUUUUUUUUUUCUUUCCAUACCAGAGAUUGAACUCAGGGACAUUCAAUUAUUGAGUCACAUCCCCACAUCCCCAUCUCUUUUUAUUUUUUGAAACAGGGCCUCACUAAAUUGCUAGGAUUGGCUUUGAACUUGUGAUCCUCCUUCUUCAGCUUCCUGAGCUGCUGGGAUUAAAGAUGUGUUGGCAAGUUAUCUCCAUUUCAAGGAUGAAUCUUUGAAAGCACAAGUGACUUUUCCUAAAUCAUAUUGCUAAUUAGUAGUACAAAUGGGACUUAAAAGAAUAUGUUACUCUUUGGUACUGGGAAUUGAAUUCAGUGCCUCACACAUGCCAGGCAAGCACUCUACUACUGAGCUACAUCUCCAGCCCUCCUUAUUUGUUUACUUAUUGGUUGGUUGGUCUUGGAUUUGAACCCAGGGUCUUGUGCAUGCUAAGCAUAUACUCUACCUCUACCCCUUAGCUGCACCCCAGCCCCCCUUUUCUUUUCUCUCUCUCUCUCUCUUUUUUUUGGUACCAAGGAUUGAAUCCAGGGACACUUAACCACUGAGCCACAUCCCACACCUCCCCCCCCUUUUUAAAUUAUUGCCCUUUUUUUAACACCUUUAUUUUUAUUUAUUUUUAUGUUGUAUUGAGGAUGGGACCCAGUGCCUCCACAUGCUAGGCAAGCGCUCUUCCACUGAGCUACAACCCCUGCCUCUGUUCUUUCUUUUUUUUUUUUUGGAGCUGGGGAUUGAACCCAGGGCCUCAUGCAUGCUAGGAAAGUGCUUUUUCACCAAGCUAUCUCCCUCCCUUCCCCCAGCCCUUUUUGAAGAGCUUUAUUUUAUUUAUGUAUUUUUAUGUGGUGCUGAAGAUCAAACCCAGUGUCUCACACAUGUUAGGCAAGCGCUUUACUACUAUCUCCCCAGCCCUUCUUCAGCCCUUGUUUAUAUUUUAUUCAGAGAUGGUCUUGCUGAGUUGCUUAAGGCCUCAAUAAGUUGCUGUUGCUGGUUUGAACUUGCAAAUCCUCUGCCUCAGCCUUCUGAGCUGCUGGAUUAUAGGAGUGUACCACUGGGCCCAGCCCUUUUUCUCUUCCUUUUCUUUUCUUUCUUUUUUUUUUUUUUGUGGUUUAUGUUGCUGGGGAUCAAACCCAGGGCUUUGCCACAUGCUAGGCAAGUAUUUAACCACUAAGCUAUAGCCCCUAGCCCUUCCAUUUUCUAUGUAAGUAUUAUCAAAGUUUUUUUUUUUUUUUUUUUUUUAAAGAGAAAGAGAGAGAGAACUUUUUAAUGUUUAUUUAUUUUUUUGGUUUUCGGCGGACACAACAUCUUUGUUUGUAUGUGGUGCUGAGGAUCGAACCCGGGCCGCACGCAUGCCAGGCGAGCGCGCUACCACUUGAGCCACAUCCCCAGCCCCUUGGGAAAAUUCUUUAUGAGAGACUUCGUUGAAGUGAAAUAUUCACUGUAAUCAGGAGUCAGAAGCCAGUCACCUAACCCUACAUGUUCUCCUUCCCUUGCAUAUCAGGCUAUUCAUUCUGUUUUCCUUUUCAACAACUUAGGGUAAAUUGGUAAUACUGUUCUAUCUAAAACCCUUCUCAGCAUUUUCUCCUUUCUGUCUCUUUCUGUCUGAGGUCAGCCACAUAUCUACUCUCUAGAAACCUUAUUGUCUUUUUUUUUCUUUUGCUGGUAAUUGAACACAGGGUCUUGUGCAUGCCAGACAGGCACUCUACCAACUAAGCUAUAUCCCCAGCCCAUAGAAACCUUACUGUCUUAUUUUGGUCAAGUCCAAUGAUAGCUUUUUAUAGGUCCUUAUGCUCAAAGAGACUAGAUGAGGAGAUGAGGAGUUUUUUUACUUAAUAGCUAAUGAUUUUGGGGUGACUGGGAUUCAGGGAGGGUCUGGGAACCUUUAAGAAUUCUGUUAAUUUUCUCUUUUUUGAAAUGGGGUCUCUCCAUGCUGUCCUGGCUGGGCUCAAGUGAUUUUUUUUUUAAAGAGAGAGAGAGAGAAUUAAUUUUUUUAAUAUUUAUUUUUCAGUUUUUGGUUGACAUCUUUAUUUUAUUUUUAUGUGGUGCUGAGGAUCGAACCCAGCGUCCCAUGCAUGCCAGGAUUUGGAGGAAUUAAUCCUUCCAUUGCUAUCUCAAAAGGUGAUCUAGACAAUGGAACAGAGACCUCUCAAUCAGGUUGUCCCUUUCACAAAUAAUGGUGCAAUGAAAACUUGAUCCGUGUGUCCUUGUCCUUUUUAUAUUUUAUUUUGAGACGGGUCUUGCUAAGUUGAAUAGUGCCUCACUAAGUUGCUGAGGCUGGCUUUGGACUCCCAGAACUCCUGCCUCAGCCUCCCGAGCUGCUGGGAUUAUAGGCGUGUGCCACUACUUUCGGCUGUAAUGCUUUUCUUAAUUGUUCCCACAUCUUAUUAAGGUAAUUAAUUUGGUGUAAAGUGUAUAUUAGAGAAUUAUUUAACUCUUGGAAUAAAAAUUUGAAAUCGAUGCUGACCUAUUAAGAUACAACUUUGAUCCACUGUAAUUAUGAGGUAGUCAUAUCAGUAUUAGUAUAUGUUAUCCAAAAAUUAACACGAACAUUUUCUUAUUCUGGAUAUGAUAUCUUUGGCAUCAUUGCCUGUUCUUCUUGAUUAAAAUGAAAUAAUCUUAUUGAGUAAAUAGUGGUAUGUAAUUUAAAAAUAUCGUCUUUUAACUGUCUUUAAUAUAGUUAGGUGUGUUCUGUAAAAUUGAUGUCAACUCCCCGAAUCUCUAUUAUUUUCUUUCCUUUUUUUCUUCCUGUUCUCUGUAUUCUCUUGAGGGCCUCUAGUUAAUUUCUGUAGGGAAGAAUAUGUUUAAAUCUAUAUCUGUCUCUCAGGUUUACAUGGAUUCUUUUUCGUUUACCCCAAUAUACUAUGUCUAAAAAAUUAUAAUAGAUAUAGUUACUCAUUUUCAAAAAUUUGAAAAGGAGCAUAUCACAAUUAAUGAAAGCAUUUGUAGAAUCUCAUAUUUGUACUGUAUUUCUUUUUAAUGUGUACAUAUCAUUAAUGUUUUAAGAUGGCUCUUAUGAGAAAAUUUUCCUGUCUUUAGAUAUAUGAGUACAUAAAGAUAUCUUAAUUUGGAUCAUGAUUGAUUUAUUUAGAACAUUUCCAUCCUUUUUAGUCAUUGGGAGAGUUUUUAGUUUGAAUAUAACAGUGCAGUUAGCAUACUCAUUGAAAACAUGUUUGUAUGCAUAUGUCCCUGACAGUUUCUUUUAUUAUAAACUGAAGUUAUUAGAGACUUGGUUUGACUUUUUUUUUUGGUAUUUAUUUAUUUAUUUAUUCGUUCAUUCAUUCAUUCAUUCAGUGUCUUGAAUACCUGAAGAGAGUGAGGAGUAAUUGCCAGGGGUAAUUAGACCGAUAUUAAACAGAUAUUAGUCACAUAUUCACACUUCAUUCCUUCACACUUUCUUCAUUCUUCCUACUGAAACACAUAAGCUUCCUGUGCCCUGCUAUUAUGCACCAUUCUUUGCCUUUUGUUCAGCACUUUUUGUUUACUAGGAUUGGGUUCUGUUCAUUUCUCUUUUAUUGGAUGAUUUUCAUUUUUUUCUCAUUGUGCUGGAGGUUAAACUCAGAGCCUCAUCCUUGGUAGGUAAGCACUUUAUCACUGAACUAUGUGCCUUGCCCUCACUGGAUAAUUUUAAUGAAUUUUAGUGUUUGCAAGAUGAUUCUGCCCUCUUGAUCUGCUUUUCCAGCACUUUGUACCAAAUACAACUGCAUACAUUCCUUCACAUUUAAAUACCUAUUAAUCAUAUCUCAUCUACUUGUUAUGUUAUAGAUAACAGUGUUUUUUUGUAUAGUAUUGUUUUUUAUAUUAUUGUCUUUUGAUAAUGAUAGUGACCAUUACCUGAGUACACUUUAAGUGUUUAACAUGUGUAAUAAUGGUUUUUAUGGAAGUAAAUUCUAAUUUGAUCUCUUAAUUUUUCAGAUCGGGUAAUUGAGGUCAAAUACACUCAGUAACAUUGCUCCCAAAUGUCAGAGUGAAGACUCUCUCUCAUUAUCAAUGAUGCUUAAGUUGGAGGUAAAAGUGAGGUCCUCUUCAAUUUCUUGUGAUGAUUGUGCUUCUAGGAAUAUCAGCAAAGGAGAAACAGAAAAGUUUAUAGCAUAGUAACAUUAUGAUUAACUGCUAGUAGAACACUUGAAUGUAUCGAUUAUCUCCACAUUUGAUUUUCAAACCAGGCAAGUACAUACAGAAGUGACCUUUAUUGGGUGUUUUGUUUUGUUUUAGUACUGGGGGUUGAACCCAGGGAUGUUUUACCAAUGAGCUAAUACCCCAGUUCUUUUCAUUUUUAUUUUGAGACCAGGGCUUGCUAAGUUGCUGAGGCCGACCUUGAACUUAUGAACCUUCUUGCUUAGCCUCUUGGUUAUUAUAGGUGUGUACUACCUUGCCUGUAACAGAAAUAACCUUUAAAACGCCAUUUCUUCCUCAAUGUUGGUUCAUUUUUUAGGAAUAGUCAGACCUGUAAAUAAUUCUAAUUGUGUCUAAUUGAUUCAAUCAUCUCACCAACUCCAAUGUUAACUGUUGUUUUCAUUACAUUUCAAAGAUAGGACAUCAAACAAAUGGAAGUUUAGAACUUGGUCAAGAACGGCUAGCUACUGUAAGCCAUUUUUGAACCCAUGUCUUAUGGAGCAAAAGCACAACCUUUUUCUGUUUUUUUUUUUUUUUUUCCCCCCUGAGCGGUAUUGGGAUUUGAACCCAUGGCUCAUGCAUGGUAAGCAAGCGCUCGACCACUGAACUGCAUCCCUAGCUCCUCUUUUUGAAAAAAAACUUCAAUAUCAGGUUUUGGUAAGUUGCCCAGGUGACCUCAAACUUAGUCCUAUUGCCUCAGUCUCCUGAAUAACUGGACUGAUAAGUAACCUAAUUCUUAAUUGUUCCAGUUGUUGUAUAGUGUCAUCUUUGGACUUUUCUAGAAUCCCUUGAUGUUGCUGCUGUUUCUUCUCAUGACGAAUGUCUCUUAUAAACACGUUUUUGCAGCUUAACUUCACUCCAUGUAAGAAUCUUUUUAACAUGAGACUUGUUCCAUAGGGUUCCAUUGGCUUUGCAAGUUAGAGGAUUGCUUUUUGAUUCUUUCGUUUGGCUAUUAAGACAGAUUCUUAGAGGAGUUUACCUGCCAUUAAGUCAGCUGUUUUGUCCUAGAUGUUUCUUUCCACAUUCAGUUCCCUUUACCUUCAGGUCUUCAGCCUCCAUUUAACUUCCUAUCUUAUGCACUGAGCAUUGCAGAAUUAUGUCAGAUGAGGAAUCAUUCCAUCAAGUAACCGGGAAUAUUGCUGUGAAGAGGUCUGUCUUUUUGUAAGAGGGGUGAGUUUUAAUUCAUUUAAGCUAUAGAACAAGUCAUAAAUUGUAAUGCAUUGCUUAAUUGUCUUAUUUAUAAAGAAAACCCAUUAAUAAUAUAACUAUUAUUCCAAACCAAACAUUUUAUGUCUAUGUACCUGUUUAUUAUUAUCUACUCUAGGCCUUGUACAUAGUCUCUUCUCCACAUCCUCUAACGAUUUUAUUAUUAAUAUUAAUAUCACAUACAUUGUACAGAUAAGUGUGAAUUUGAGAGGAAAUAAUUUGGACAAGAUCCGAAUGCCCCUGCCUCCCUCCUUUUUGUACUAGAAAUUGAACCCAGGAGUGCCUAACCACAUCCCUAGGACCCCCUCCCCCCCCUUUUUGUGGUGCUGGGAAUUGAACCCAGGGCCUUGUGCAUUCAGGGUAAGCACUCCACCAACUGAGCUAUAUCCCCAGCCCCCCUAGCCCCUUUUAAAAAUUUUAUUUUGAGACAGGGUCUCACUUAGUUGCUUAGUGCCUCACUAAGUUGCUGGCUUUGAACCUGUGAUCUUCCUGCCUUGACCUCCUGACCCACUGGGAUUACAGGUGUGCACCACCACACCUGGCUCAGAAUGCCUUUAAGUUAUGGUUUAUAUUUAAAGGCCCAAUUCAUAGCAUUUUAUAUAGCCCAAGGAAGCUUCAAAUUGUUUAGAAUGUAACUAAGGAAAAGAAGUGUGGAUAAUCUUCAUAUACUUAAAUUUCCCAAUAUUUGCCUAAUAAGAUUAUAUAUAAAUACUGACAUACUGAGAGAGUGCUCCGUAGUGAUUUAGGGAGCCCUUGGUAGGUUUCCCCCAUUUAUCUUUUUUUUUUUUAAUUUUUUAAAAUUUUUUAGUUGUAGUUGGACACAAUACCUUUAUUUUAUUUAUUUAUUUUUAUGUAGUGCUGAGGAUCAAACCCAGGGCCUUGCAUGUACUAGGCUAGCACUCAACUGCUGAGUCACACCCCCAGCCCUCCCUCAUUUAUCUUUAGCCUGAUACAGUAUCUCCAGAGUCCUCUCAUUAUCCCAGUGCCAAUGGAAGUUAGAAGUUGCUUUGUUUCACCCUGAGCCCUGAGCAAUGCCAGACAUCACAGAUUAUAAUCAUUUACUGUGCCAUUGGAUGCCUAAUGUCCCCUUAUACUAAACCUUAGCUGGGAGGCAAUUUCCCAUAUAGUGAGUAAGGUGGUAUGACAAGAGCUGAUUUGGCAUUAGACUUUGACAUUUUGUGCAGCCUUCUGCUUCUUCAGAAGACCUGUUGCAUCUUUAGAAAAUUGAUCCAAGUACUUUGGGGCCACUGCUACCCCAUGUUCUGGGUUUGGCAGUACCCUUACAGAACCUCAAGGUAAAGGGUAUGUGGUUUGAGAAGGGAAAUAUGCAAGUCCAUAGUGUAUGGUAUGAGCUCAACAGAUUACCUGAUUAGGCCUCAUCAGUUUUUAGGUGUGACCACUGAGACCUGGGGUUUAGUGUGGCGUGGCUUCUGUAGGCUUCUGAGAAGUAGAUUCAGAAUUCAAGCAAACUGCAUUAGCCCAUCCGAUACUUUUCCUUUUUGAAGUUGAAGGGUUUUAAGAGUCUUAACUUCUCAUUUAUUAAGUAACAGAAGGGAAAUAGUAGGAGCCAGAUAGUGAAUUGAUAAUAUGUGGGUAGGGAGGAUAGCUAGGGGUGGGAGCCUAAGGAUUUGGGACAAGAGGGAAAGAUGAUCCAUCUGGAAUCUGUUUCAGAGAAGAAAAAGCUGCAUAGUGCUUUGAAGACAUUGAGCAUCAUUCCAAGAAGAAACAUGAUCUCAGCAGUCAUCUUCAAAUCACCCCCAAUCCUGCCCCCAUCUUGUUGAGAAAGCAUAGCCCCACUUUUACCUAUUUAAUGCUGGUUUUAUAUAUUUCGUGUGUGUGUGUGUGUGUGUGCACGCACGUGCAGCAAGCUGAAACAUUGAGUAAGGGAACAUUCAUUUAGUUAGCUAGAGCAGAGUAGAAGGGAGUGUUUUUCUUUGUUAUUGGAAUGUGGUGCCAAGGGAAGCAGCAGAGGGGGAGGUACUUGGGAAGGAGCAGCAUGGGGGAAGGAUGCAUAUCCUGUAGAAUCAGUGGUCACAGGUUUUUAUAAAACAUCAACUGUUCCCCACCCCACCCCCAGUGAUAGUUGUAGUUCUAUUGCCUAGCCCUAUCUAACAAGUAUUGUGGUUAGUAGCAGUGACUUUGAGGAAAAAAUUACUCUUUUGCAACUUCCCAUUUCACUUCCAACUUGGUCAGUAUGCUAAGUAAGAAGUUCCAAGUUGUGAUGGCAAAAUUAUUAUAUCCAGACUUACUCUCUUCCCCUUCCCUAGCUUCUAGUGCCUUAUUUGGUUUGAUGUGCUCCUGUGUCCUAUCAGUGCUUUCUGAGUACUUUUAUGUUCAGUUUCUGGGUUGAUGGGAUAAGAGAGAGAGUAAGGCUAAAAUGGGGAAGUUGGGCUUUGUUAAAAUCUUAAUGAUUUCUUGUGGAUUUCACAUUUCAGAAGAUACUAUUAUACAACUAAAGAUAUUAGGGACCCUCUGCUUCAACAACUUGGCUUUAAGUAUCCCUCAUUUCCCAUGUUUUACACUUGAUAUGUUUAAGAAAAGUUAACUGAAUAGUUUCAUUGAUCCCAGAACUAUAUUCACCCCAAAGAGGAAGCCAAUCCUUUUCAAAAAAGACGCAAAUACCUCCAUAAGAUGAUAAAUACCAAUGUCCAUUUUCUCCCCAGGGAAUAGUACACCAUUUAAACUAGGCCCUUAGUCACCUAUAUGUAGUACCGGUGAAACUCCAGGUGUCCCUUUUUAUGGAAACUAGAAAGGGUAUCUUUAUCUUAAUCCUGCUUCUCAGAAGCUUCUGCUUUGCACUGUGGGGCAAGUGCCCCAACACAUGCUACUAUUCUGAUCUCUUCAUGUUUAUUUUGGGGAUUUGUUGCAUAUUAGAUUUUAAGUUAGUACAGUAGUGCAGUUUGUAUUUUGAGUUAGGGGGUCUUAUCUGGGAUUCCAAAAUAAAAGAUUUAAGAAAUUCCAUGUCUUGUUAGGACCAAGUAUGUGGUAAAGAUUGUAGCGUGAUGAUUUUGUACCAGAAGGAUUCUUGUGUUCGUCAACCUCAAUGUCUGCAAAAAGUUUUUCCAAUGAAGAGAACAAAGAAUACCCCUCAAUUCAUCUGGAGGAGGAAUGAGCCUGAAAAUAGCGCCCUCUGCUUGUGCUGCACAUAGCCAAAUCAGCUCUAUGAUGCCCAGAAACAUUGAGAAAGGUAAUCCCCGUACACUGCCAGAUGGAAUGGCCAGUGCAACUAGUGUUAAGUUAUCAGUCUUUUGAUUGGAUGAGAUAUUUAUUUUACUCAGUUUUUAGGGCCCUGAAAGCUUCCUUUGCACUUACCAGUUCAAAUUCCUACACUACCACAUGUUAAAAAUAGUCAAGAAAACAGUGAUUUAUUUUAGCUUCUAAAGUUACAUAGUGGCACUGGUAAAUGAACCUACUUCAAAAUCUUUUAAUUUAGACCCUAGCUCAUAAAAUGUUUUCAACCAAAAAGGAUUGGGUUUUAUGCAUGGGGUACUACAUGUAGUCUGGGGGGUGCUUUCCCACAAGUGGGGGGGAAUAAAUACUUUUUUCUGUGUCCUUGGAGUGAGGGUGGGAUCCACGUAUAUACUUACCUGUUUGGCUGUCUGCAUAAUGCGAAGGAGCCCCAUGUUGCAGCACAGAAGAUUUUUCAUCGUUGGAUGUUAAGGUUAGUUUUCUUUCAUUGGUCCUUCUCUAACUUGGACUAAAGUGUGUAAUGUAGAAAUACAUAGGUGUCCAUGUUAUUUUAACACAGAAAUCUGGGACUUAUCAGAAUAUUAAGUGUUCUGUGACAGCUAAUAAAAAAUCCAGAAUUGCCUAAUUAUAGCACUUAAUAAAGUGUUAACUAAGAUGAACUAGACAGCAGAACUUUGGAUGAGUGUUUACCAUCACUAUCAGAAAAUACACAACAGUACUAAAUCCUAAAAAGUCGAUGGAUUUUUUUUUUUUUUUUUAAAUAGAAAGUCUUUGCUAUCUUGUCCAGACUGGCCUCUAUCUCAUGGCCUCCUACCUUAGUGUUGCUUGGAAUGCAGGUGCACUCCACUGCUUACUUUAUUGGAAUUCUUAAUGAUUUGUGCCCAUUUUUACUUGCUUUCUGAAAAAGUUCUGAUAUAAUUUUUUUCUGGUACGGAGUGCUCCUGCUCUUGGGGAACCAUAUGUUUGCCUAUUGGUGAAAUGAUAGAUCUAAGGGUAAUUUUUCUGCAAGUGGGCACGAGAUUGUUUAUUAAGAGCAGUAAAAUUUUUUGCCUCUUUGCCAACUGGGUACCAUCUGUUGUGGUUCUGAAACUUCCCUUGGUUGGCUAGUUCAUAUUUGAACCAGUUAAUAAUUCUACUAUGUUAAGUGACUUACUGUUGUCAAACAGUCUGUCGAGGACAUAAGGUUAAACAGGCUAAGACUUAACGCUGGUAGUAUAGCUAAGAUUUCUUACCAGUUUUUCAUAAAUACUUGUGAAAUAUUUUGGCUCCUAAAGAGGAAUAUUGCUGCCCUAUCCUGUUUUAAUCAUUGUGCAUCUGCCCCUCCAAUGUAUUUAAAGGAUACUACAGUACACGCUGCUUUGCUACAGAAUUGCCAAUAUACACUGUUGGAGAACUACUAUCCUGAAGUAGGGUAAAUAACUUUAAAAAGUUAAUACUCUACUUUCUAGCUUCAUUGAUAUUUCAAAUUGGAUUUAAACCCAAUUGACAGCUAAACUAGGCAAAUGGAGUAUUCUGGAGUAGGAUUAUAAUGAGUUUUCCAUUUUUGACUCCUGUGUGUAUGGAAACAAUGGAAUACUUUCAAAUACAGUUGCAUGGGUUUAGCUUUUAGAAAUAACUUGUAUAGAAGUGUCUUCUGAAGUUUAAAUCCAGUGUGUUUAGCAGUACAUUGUUUUACUAGUAAUAAAACCAAAAGGGCUUACUUUCAGGAGAUGCAUGUUCAUACUCAUUUGUACAUAGUGAUUGUCUAGUCAUACUACCUUUCUAGGUGCACUGUCCUUCAUUUACAUUUAACUAAUCCAUCUAGCUAGUAGGCAUUUUUAUUUCCAUCCUGUGCAAUAAAUUUGCUCAAUAAGAUGAAAGAUUUGCCUGUUUUUUGUUUUUGUUUCUCCUUUAGUACUAGAGAUUGAACCCAGGAUAGCUUUACCACUGAGGUACAUCCCCGACCUUUUAAAAAAAUUUACUUUGCGACAAUCUUGCUAAGAAAUUUAGGCUGGCCUCAAACUUGUGAUCUUCCUGUCUUAGCCUCCCAAGCUUCUGGGAUUACAGGCAUAUGCCACCAUGCUCAUAUUGGCACCUGGUUUUGAAAUGGUAAACUACUAAUAGGAUCAUUCAUAGUCCCUAUUGUAAGUUUCAUUACCAUAUGUCAGUUUUGUGUGGGAUAUUUAGUCUUGUAAUUUGAGAAACUGAUAAUGGAUACACAUCAAACUUGGUUACCUAUACUUUGUCAAAUGUGUUAUCAACAUUUGUGUUACUAAUGUAAAGUCUUAAAUUUAGCCAACUACAUUCUACAGAUUAUACAAAGAACUCUCUAAUUUCUCAGUUGCCACAUUAGGGAGGACAUUGUUUGCAAAUUUCUAAUACUUAAAAAUCACAAUGUAUUAGGUUUCUUCUCUUCCAUGGUCUUUUUUGUUGUUGUUUCUUUAUCCUGGAGUUUUUUUUUUUUUUUUUUUUUUUUUUUUAAAUAUUUGUUUUUUGGGUGGACACAAUAUUCUUUAUUUUAUUUUUAUGUGGUGCUGAGAAUUGAACCCAGGGCCUCAUGCAUGCUAGGUGAGCACGCUACCACUUGAGCCACAUCCCCAACCCAAUCCUGGAGUUUUAACACAGGCCCUCUAUUACUGAGCUAUACCACCAACCCUUUUUCUUUUAUUCUUUUGGUACUAGGGAUUGAACUCAGGGGCAUAUUACCACUGAACUACUUCCUCAUCCCUUUUUAUUUUUAUUUUGAGACGGGGUCUCACUAAGUUGCUGAAGCUGGCCUUGAGUUUGCAAUACUGCCUCUGCCUUCAGAGAUGCUGAAAAUACAGGCAUGUCACCACUAGCUAUUAAAGGCUUUUGAACUAAAUUAUUCAAUGUAAAUGUAUUUUCAUAAUUUAUGUACCUGUAUGCUUUUUAAAUUUUUUGGGGGAGGGGGUUAUUAUUCUUUUGAAUUUUUGGUAAUGUUAGGUAGAAUUUCACUACCAGUCAUAUUUUUAACAUGUCUAAAUCUCAAACUUGGUUCUACAUUUUGAAGAAAAUACGCAUUACCAUGAAUCGUCGAAAUGGGAUUGUUCUUCAUCCUGCAUUGCCUCCAUUGGCAAUAUUGAAAACAAAAAAUUUAUCGAUAAAUGUAUUUGUUGAACAAUAUAUUAAAAAAUAUGUUGAACAGUCAACAUUUAAAUGUAGAGGUAUAUAUGCUUUGGGUCCUUUAGCUUCAAGAUUUCGUAACAGCAUUUGGUUUAUUACUAUUGUGAUUCGGAAGUAAUUUUUCACCAACUGUAGCCCAUCAUUAGUAGUAUGUGUUUUUCCUGUCAUAAAUGUACAUUUCAAGUUCGGAGCUCCUUUGGAGUAAUGAGCCGGAAAUUUUGUACUCAAUUUGCCCAUAUAGCAGUGUUAUUUAACUGGAGAUAGUCUAAAAUUGGGAAUCCAAGUUUGGUUCUAGUUAAUGGGAAUCUUCAUACAAACUUUUUUGGUUCUCAUAUUGUGUGUCGGGGCCAUUUGUUAAUUCCAAUUGAUAAUAGGGAACUAAAAUGAUGUGCAGUUUUCGUAAGUUGCUGAAUAUUGGUCUUUUCCAGAUUUGUCUUUGAAUUCUUUUUUUUUUUUUUUUAAAGAGAGAGAGAGAGAAAAAGAAUCUUUUUUAAUAUUUAUUUUUUAGUUUUCUGCGGACACAACAUCUUUGUUUGUAUGUGGUGCUGAGGAUUGAACCCUGGCCGCACGCAUGCCAGGCAAGCGCACUACCACUUGAGCCACAUCCCCAGUCCUGUCUUUGAAUUCUGACCACAUAGUAUACCUAACCAAAAAUCCUGUUGUACUCAGUAUGUACCAUGUAGUAUUUUCUUUCUUUUUUUUUUUUUUUAGAUGGUUGGAAGUUCAUGUGUACUCUGGAAGGUAGUUCCAUUAGUAAAACAGUUUAAUGGCUGAGUGCUAUGAAGCCAGAAAUGGAUUGAAAUUGGUAGAGAACUUUUUAGUUUUUAUAGUCUAAUUUUUUUUAACUUUUAAAAAAAUGCCUCUAUUUUGUUUAUUUUUAUGUCAUGCUGAGGAUUGAACCCAGUGCCUCACACAUGCUAGUCAAGUGCUCUGCCGCUGAGCUAUACCGCCCCAGCCCUUAUAUUGUAAUUUUUAACUGUCAUUUUUUAUUGUUUUAAUAUGCUAUUAUAUUAAGACAGUUACACGUCUUUAAGUCCUUUUUUUUUUAAUAUUUAUUUAUUUAUUUUUCGGUGGACACAACAUCUUUGUUUGUAUGUGGUGCUGAGGAUCGAACCCGGGCUGCACGCAUGCCAGGCGAGCGCGCUACCACUUGAGCCACAUCCCCAGCCCCGUCUUUAAGUCCUUGUAAAAGUAAGAGCCAUGUAAAUUAACUUAGUAGUAUGUUAACUAGUAUUGACAUGUAUAGAUUUGUAGUAAGACAUUUUUCCUACUUCGUGAUGCCCCUGGCACAAGCAUUGUAUCAGAAAUUGGUCCCAAAUUUUGUUGUAGAAUUUCCACGUGAUUCCACUAGUGUGUUAAGUAUCCUUUAUUAUUGGGAUUGAACCCAGGGGCGCUUAACCACUAAGUCACAUCCCCAUCCCUUUUUUAAAAAAUAUUUAUUUUUUAGUUGUAGUUGGGCACAGUACCUUUAUUUAACUUGUUUAUUUUUGUAUGUGGUGCUGAGGAUCAAACCAGGGUUUCUCACGUGGGAGGUGAGCGCUCUACUGCUGAGCCACAACCCCAGCCCCCAUCCCUUUUUGUAUAUUACUUAAAGACAGGGUCUCAAGGAGUUGCUUAGGGCCUUGCUAAAUUGCUGAGGCUGGCUUUGAACUCACUAUUCUCCUACCUUAGCUUCCUAAGCUACUGGGAUUAUAGGCAUGCACCAUUGCACCCAGCCCCUGGCCUAGUUUUUAAUGGUAACUUUAUCUAGUAAGGAAAAUUGCUGAUUGUACUUUUUUCAAAAUUUCUUCAUUGUUUUUUUUUUUUUGUUUGUUAUUUUUCCAUGCGAACUUUAGAAACCGCCUGUGAAGUGUUCAUCACAAAUAUCAUUUGUUUUUCAACUGAAACGGAAUUGAAUUUAUAUAGGUUAAUUUUGAGAGGUAUCAUUUUACCAUCUUCCAUAUGUUAAUGUGGUAUGUCUUUUUAUUCAAGUCUUUAUGUGUUUGUAUUUAUAUUCUACUUAUUACCUUCAAUAUUUCUUAGUUUUUGAACGAAAUAGACAUCUUAGGAACUACAACUCUGAGAUGUAGAAGAUGUCAUCUGCAUAGACUAGGGCUCAUUGAAGGCCAUUCAGUAUGUUUUGAGAUUGAUGUUACCAUUUCUUCUAGAAGUUCCAAGGAAUAUUUUAUAAAUAAUAUUUUAUAAAUAAUAUUUUAUAAAUAAGUUCCUUAUUUAUAAAAAUAUUUUAUAUUCCUGGUUUGGGUAAGUGUACAAGUGUGAGCUAAUUUUAGGAAAAUUGCAUAGUGAGCCAUUUGUUUUGGUAAUGUCAGCAUCCUCUUGACUUUUAUCUUUCCAUGUAGAAGUACUUCCUUCAUCCUGUAGUUUCCUGGAGAUUUAGAGCUCAUUGUCAAUAGGAUUUGUAGCACUUGAUGAUCUUUAUAUCUUCUAAUAGAGAGCUAACUGGUUGUCUUCCUGGAAAGUAUUUAGAACUAAGGAGGUAAGAAUUCUAUUGUGUUUGAUGGUUUUAUUUCUGUGUUAAGGACAAUUCUGAUAGGAGUUAAAGGACUUGCAUGAUACAGAGAGUGAUCUGACCUUAAAUCCUCUGAGAAUCAUCAUAGGAAUUAGUACUGUUUAUUUUGUAGGGAAGAACUCAAAAGAGUUAAGUGCUGUGUUUUCAGGUCAGGGAUGGUUGGAUUUUGCUGCUUUUUCCAGGCAGUUGUAAUUAAUAGAAAAGUAGAUUUAAGAACUGUUUAGCUAGCACAGUGGCAUACCUAUAAUCCCUGCUGAGGCAGGAGGAUCUUAAAUUCAAGGCCAACCUUAGCAACUUAGUGAGACCUAAGCAACUCAGUGGGAAAAGGGUUGGCGAUGUACCAAAGUGGUUACAUAUCCCUGGGUUCAAUCCUUGGUACCAAAAAAAAAAAAAAAGAGAUCUAUCUAAAGAUUCAGAGACUCUGAAGUGAUACCUACAAAUUUAAGUGACAACUUUUGAUCAAAUUUGAGGAUUUCCUUGUAUGGAAUUCUGAUUUGUAUUACACGCACUUGAAGGUCACUUUUUUUUUUCUCUCUGUCUCCUUGUGGUGCUCAGGAUGUACCUAGGGACUUAUAUAUGCUGGGCCAGUGCUUUAUCAAUGAUCUGCAUCCCCAGCUCUGAAGGUCACUUUUUUUAAAUAUAUAUUUUUAGUUGUUGAUGGACCUUUAUUCUAUUCAUUUAUUUAUAUGCGGUGUUGAGAAUCGAACCCAGGGCCUCACACACGCUAGGCAAGUGCUCUACCACUGAAUCACAACCCCAGCCCCUGAAGGUCACUUUUAUUGCUAAUAUUCUUUGAAGUUCUUAGUUGGUAAAUGAAGCUGCCUUGCAUUGUAUGACUGCUUCACCUGCUCCUAUUUAAAUUACCAUCACAAUCCCCUUAGGCAUCCUAAAAGGUAGAAUAAAUUUAAUAAGGUAGCAUGUAAUUAAUGACAUUGCAUGUUUUUUUUUUUUUACUUCCCCAUAUUUCUUAAUCUCUGAGAGUAAUUCCUACUCUACAGUACUUUAUUGUUUGUAAAAACCUUUUAUUACAUGGUUUUUCUUGGCCCUUACACAUAUCUGGUGAAAUAGGAAGGGUAGAGUCCACCAGUGUAUCUAAUUUGUAAAUGGAAGAUAGUCUUGGAGACUACUUGGAUUAUCUCUGAUAAGAGAUCAGUGAGAUUACUCCUUAUAAUCUUCAUAUUUUGGGGGAAGCUUAGUACCAGAGUUUAAAUGUGGAUAUUUUGUAUACAUUCUUUUGUGUUGGGAGGAGGAACGUUAGACUAGAUAAUCUUUUGGAAUCCAGGGGUGGGAAGUACCUUCCUUGAAUCCACCAAGUAUUAUAAACUUGAUGGAUUCUAGCUCACUAUGUUAGACUGAGGGGCAUUUUAGCAAACAAUCAAAGGCAUUAAAUGUUUUAGGGAUUUAUAGUUCUAGGUAGCAGGUUGUUGGAGAAAUUUGGGUCAUGAGCUCCUUCUCUUUGGCCUUUUAUGCAGUUUCUUUUCCUCCUUCAGGUCCAAGAGUCAGGUGGGAAGAUGACCACUGGAGAAUGGGUUAUGUUACAAGUUUAUAAUCAGUUUAUUAUGAAUGAGAAUGAGGCCUUAGCCCCUGUCCACAGCUAUAGAAGUCACUCUUUAGUCAUGUGUCUUUGGUAUAGGCUCAAAGUCAUGAUUCUGCUAAUUUAGAUUUCAAACCUCAAGGAUAAAUUUUGAAAACCUACUAUCCCCAUAGAUUAUUAGGUUUUAAUCUGAUCACAAAUCCCUUUGUAAGAGACAAUAAAUGGUCUUACUUAGUGAUGGGGAACUCCUUGAAUCAACUUGUCUUAUUUCUGAAACUUUGUAAUAUUGAGAUAAAUUUGUUUAAUACAGCUUCAACAAGUUUAUCAUAAUUAUAUUGUACUCCCAUUCAAGAAUAUUGCUUUAUUUUCUCCUGCAUCUUUAGCUACUCUCCUCUUUGCUGCCUUAUGUGCUGCCAGGGACUGUGCUGGGUGAUGGGGAUAUGGAGAUUAAUUAGUCUCAGUCCCUGUGCUCAAGGAGUUCUCAGUUUAGUGAGAAAGAUCAUAUAUACACAGAUAAUUACAACAGUAUGGUAUGCUCUACAAUGGUGGUAUGUAUGAGGUACUAUGGAAUUCAAAAGAAAAACACUUUAAUGAGUCCAGAGAUGCCAGAAGUCAGAGUAACUGAUAUCUUAAAAAAAGUAAAGAUUGAACCACAGGUGGCACACGCCUGUAAUCCCAGCCAUUCAGGAGGCUGAGGCAGGAAGAUCGCAAGUUCAGGGCCAGCCUUGGCACAAUACCCUCUCUAAACAAAUAAAUAAAUGGGACUGAGGAUGUAGAUGGUAGAGUGCCCCUAAUUUCAAUACUCAGUACCCAGGGUUGGGGGGUGGGUAGCAAAUGUUUCCUCAGCAGAAAACAGGGAAAGGACUUUAUAUCAAAGUAUGAACAUUGGAAACAGAAUGAUGCGUUGGGGGAAACUGCAACUAUUUUAUGAAAUUAGGCUACAAAGUUAGAAAUCGAUCCUCACAUCAUGCCAUGGGUUUCAUUGAGGGUGUUUCUAGAAGGGGAUGCUUUUAAUGAUAACUCUGGUAGAAGUGUGAAGUAUGUUCUAGAAGGUGUUGAAAUCUGUACAGGGAUAUGAGUUAAAAGGACACAUUAGUGGCUAAGUUGAGAAAUAGGAGUUGGGAAACAUAUAUAAGAGGAUAUAGACAUAGAUAAUAGAAUUUAUUACAAAAUUAGCAUGGCAAAGAAAGUAAAGUACAGGGUUUUCUGACUUUGGCAAAUGUACACUCCCAUUCUCCCCAUUCCUGGCCUUGAUGAAAAAUCCUCUUGUGUUCUUUGGUCCAUAGCUUGGUGCACACAUUGUACACAAUUCUUUUUGGGAAACAACUGUAUAACAAACAUCGAUUCUCAAGGAACCAUAUGAAUAGCAGCAGCCCUUAUAUAAGUAUUACUAAGUUCCUAUUAUUGUUCAUAAGUAUCAGACCUACUCUCACUGUCAUAUGUCUGAAAGUUUUUUUUAAUUUUAUUUUUUUAGAUAAAAAUAUAGACUUUUGUUUCUAACCCCACUGAAGGAAGAAUGAUAUUAUUCGUUAUAGGCUCAGUUACUUUACUUAGGGACUUAGAAAUUCUUAUACCUGCAAGUAGAAAAAACAAAAAUACAAAUACAACAGUUAAAAAUCCAAAUAUAUUAAGGGUUUUUUUUUUUCUUCCCCUCAAAGCAAUAUAAACAUGGUGUUUUUAGGGGCAUUUUGUACUUUUAAAGCUUAGGUCAUUGCUUAUCUUUGUGAUUCCGAGAAGCACUUUCUGUGAUUAGAAUGAUUAUAUUUUAUUUUCUAAAAUAUUUAUUUUUUAGUUGUAAUUGGACACAAUACCUUUAUUUUAUUUAUUUAUUUUUAUGUGGCACUGAGGAGUGAACCCAGGGCCUCAAAUGUACUAGGCGAGCACUCUACCGCUGAGCCACAACUCCAGGCCCUAGAAUGAUUAUAUUUUAGUAAUAUAUAUAUAUAUAUAUAUAUAUAUAAUUUUUUUUUUAACAAGGCCUUAUAUAUAUAACCUGCCAUACUCUGGGCAAUACGGAAUGCAGAGUUAGUAAUGUAAGCUCUCAGCAGUGAACUUUGUGGAGUGAGAGUCUCGGACUUGGGACUCAGACUUCUUUUGAUACUUUACAAUGUGGUCUUGAGCAUGAUUCCUUAUCCCUCUAGGAGUUUGUUUCCUUUUAUGGAAAAUAGGAAUAGAAUUUCCUUUCAAGGAUCUGGAAAAAGGGAGUGAAAUGUAAGGAGAUUAUUUAUGGCAAUCAUUUGAAAUAGCUCUGGAAUAUGCUAAAUGACAUAGCAACAUAGUUGUUGCUGAUAAUCGUUGACUACCACAAGGACUAAAAGAUGAUGGUUGACUAUUGUUACUUUUUUCUAGUAAUUAAUGACGUUAGGGUUGAGAAAGAAAGGAAAACUAUGAUUGUUUUCAGUAGAACACUAGUAUGAAGUCACUUCAAAUUUUUCUCUCUGCUAGGAAGAGUAGGAAACCAGGUUAAGCCUUGAGUUCAUGGUCUAGCCAGUGUAACCUACUGCCUUUGCUCAUAGUACCAAAUAGAAAGCUGUGGAAAAGUUGUGUUACAACUGAAUAAAGGUUAUCGUAAAGUGAGAAAAAAAAAUUCUUUGGAGCUAUUCAAAACUGAGUCUAAUUCAACUGCUUACUAGUUAUGUGAUCUAAUAAAUGUUACUUAACGUCAUUGAACCUCUGUUUCUUCAUCCAAUGAUUAAUUUUCAGGGGUUCCAUGAAGAUACCUGUAAAGUGUAUAUCAUAGGCACUCUAUAAGUUAUAGCUAUUAUUGUUAGUUCUUGGGACACUCACCGCGUGACAGAAACAACAGAAGGCCCUGGUGCCUGUGAGGACUUCAUGGAUCCAUCAGCAACCUGGAGUGGUGCUCCUCUGAAGAAAUCCUACUCGGAUGGAUAUAAUACAACCUGCUAAGUGUCCUAGCACUUAUCAGGUUGUAUUAUCAUUGUCCGAGUCUAUGGCUCUCGUCUACCAGACUAAAUUCCAUAAGGGCAAGGACAGUGCCUUAUUCAUCUUUGUAUUCACAGUGCCUAAUCCGGUGCACAUUGUAGGCCUCAUUAAAUGUUUGUUGAAUGAAAAAAUGAAUCAUCAACAGACAUUAAUUGGGCGCCUGCUCUGUGAUCUCCAUGGGCUCAGCUUGUCCCCGCCAGUUGCCUACAACGUCCAAGCUCUUCAAAAUGCUUACUCCUGAAGUUUACUCCUGUUUUCUAAUUCUUGUGCUGAGGACUUAUCUGUGUAUUGCAAUGAUAGGAAAUACACUUCAUCUCAAGUACCAUCUGCAGUUGACUAUAAUGCCUGCCUUGAUUGUGUUUUAUAAAAAGAAUUCCCAAGCCAGGUCUUACCUCAGUGUGAAAGAGAGUUAUAAAUAAUUAGUGAUAUUUGCUAAAGGUUGGCUAAAGUGGGGGUGGGACCUCAAGUGUUUCAUAUGUCAUUUGAUAUUGUAUACCUCAAUUUUAGUCUUGGCUAAUUGCAAAUAUUGCAUGCCUCCUGCUGCUGUUAUAAUUUUUGCCAAUUGCUUAUUGGGUUGGACCAGAGAAAUCACUGUUUGUGCAGGAGCCUCAUCCUCACAGCUUGGGUUCUUUGGUUGGUAUUCACAAUUUUUCCCUUUCAACUUCCUGGUAGCUAUCCACUUACCUGCAGUGGUAGGUAGUUUUCCACUUUCCUCUCUACCCAGUCACCAUGCUCAUAGUUCCUUUUUCUUAUUUAGUGUACUUAAUCAUUAGUCUUCCAUGAGAAUCUUCUUUUUGUAGAUGUGACAACCAGAAUACAAAUUAAAGCACCCCUUUCUGUGCCCUACAAUGAGUUGUAUAGUCACUCUUCUAAUAUGGGGAAAAAAUGCAGUGUACUUUCAAGGCCAUGGAGCAGGAAGAGGAUGGGAGGGAAUCUUUGUAGAAGUGGGAAUGAGAUGAUAACAGGUGAAAUAACAUCUUCAAUGAUGAUACACGUAUUGGUUGAAGAAUGAAACCUAUGCUUUCUUAGAACAUAGGUAGAGGUUUACCCUUAGAUUAAAGGAACUACUACUUCACUAGAACAUAGGGACAGGAGUAAGGAAGAGAACAUGGCUGGUUUUUUAAGAUUCAUAAUUAUGAAGAUGGAUAAUGGAAAGGUAGCUAACCAGGAUUAUGAACAUGAAGCUGCUGGAACAGGAAGAUGAGUAGUUGGGACUAAAAUGAGUAAUAUCCAGGCCAAAAGGCUGAAGUUGGGCAAAACAACCAGAGCUUAUAGUAUAUUAAAGUGACAAGUCUGUAACCAGAUUAGAAACCCAGGAAAAUAUCAGUGGUUUUGAGCCACUGUCACAAGUAGUGUUUGGUUGCUUUGAUUGAUUGAGGAAUAGAUAGCUAGUAAGUGAGGAGCUACAUGGGAUUGGAUUUCAUUGCUUUUUGUCUAAUUUUUUUGUGGUGCUAGGGAUUGAAGGGCUUCACACAUGCUAGACAAGUACUCUACCACUGAGCGACAUUCCUAGCUCAGAAAUGAAUUCGAAAAAUCUAUAAUGGGCAUAGAAGGAGGUAAGGUCAGGAGUAGAUUCAAUCUGGGCACAGAAAUGAAGGGUUUUAGUAUAAAGAAGAUGGAGAUCUAGCACUUGGGAAAAUUGGAAUGAUAGCACCUAUAAUCAGAUUUUGGAGUGUUAAGAUUUCAGAACUGGAGUGAUCAAGAUAAGAUACCAGUGAAAUGGAUUUCAGGUGUGAUUUAUGUGAAUGUUGAAGUCCCCAAGGUUUAUAAUGUAAGGAAGGCCUGAAAUGUACUCUGGGCCAGGCACAAAAGCCUUCAAUGACUACAAAUGCUAGUGAUGAGAGGUUGUAAUGGGAUUGUAGCAUGAGUCUUAAAGAAUAGUGACAUUCCAGGUAACAUUCCAGGUAAUCCCUUUAUUAAGUACCCAUUCUGUACCUGCCAACUUGUUUUGUGCUAUCCGUUUACCUCUUGAAUCUGUCCCAUUUCACCUGUGUGAGAAUGUAUAGCAAUUCUUGUUAAACACAGUUAGAGAGGUUGCCGGACCUUAAUCCUGCUGGAAAUCUGUGGCCAUCUUCUAAUUCUUUGAAAAUAUAAUAGGCUAGUCAUUUUGGAGUAGCAUAAAAUUAUAUCUUUAGGUAGAUUUCUUUCCUUUGACCUCGAUUUAUGUUCACUAUAUGUAACAUGUUUUUGUUGACCAUGUUCUAUAAAGUACUUUGGUUUCAGAGCCUCUAAGGUGAAGGGAGAGCUACUGCUGCCCUGUGAAAAGUAAAGUACUUUAAAAUAUACAUUGCACAACUAGAACAAGACAUAGUUUUAUUAAUUAUCUAAUUCUGCUUUUAGGAUGUAGUAUAGAGAAAAGAAAGCUCACAUCAAUAGGUGAGUAGUAACCUGAUCACUUAGUUAACGCUAUUCUAGGUCAGGUUAUAUCCAGGUUAUAUCCGGUUUAGUGGCUUAUGGUGUAGAGUUUUUCCAUGAUGUUCAGAAAGAGAACGGGAAAUUGAAGCAUAGAGAUAUCCUUAUGGAAUUAGAAGGUAAAGCAAAGGAGAAGAGAGAUUGUGAACCUUUAACAUGGCAAGUAGAUUUUUCUUUUAUGAUUCAGUUUAUUUGGGAUAUGAUAAAUGGCUUUUGUUAGCACAGGUCUGAACACCAAGUUUGAGGCUGAAUUUGUUAGUGUUUCGGUGGGGAAGGUUCUUGUUAAUCAUUCUGUACCCAUUCCCCACCUGAUGUCAGGGUGGUCAUUGGAGAAGUUAUAGACAAGGACAGCAUCUCCAUGAACCCCAGCCCCAUGAUUUACUCCUUAUGUUUCAACAAGUCAUAAAAUUACUGGAUGGCCUUCUCUACUUCAAUUUCUGGUUAUGACUUGUUCAGAUAUUAGCAUUUUUUUUUAGGACACAUGUAAGGAAAGAAAUUUUAUGGAGUAAUCGCUUUCCUCUGUUAUGGAUGAAUGGUAUAGGACAUAGAAGGGAAAGUGUGAUCAAUCCCUAGAACACCCUUGAUCACACCUUAUGGUGCCUUACCCUGGGUCUGUCUAAUUUCUUUAUGGAGUCUUAGUGAAAAUUUUGCUGUCACUAACCUCUGUCCAUUUUUCUUCCCCCAUCCUGAUGAAUUUCAGCAGGUCUCUCUUACUUUCCUUCUCCCUAGGCCAUAUCAGCUCCAUUCUCUUUCUGGGAGGAGCUUUAUUGUCAACUAGUGAAUAUAAAGAGAGAGGCAAUGAGGACAGAAGAAGGCGAGGGAGGCUUUGGAAUACCAUGGUAGAGGAACAAAUGCUUUGCCUUUUUUAGUGGUUAAUGGACUAUUAAGUUUGUAUGGAUGAAGGAAGGAAACCUGCAAUCUCUGAUAUUGUGAGUGAAUUUAGGAGUGAAUUCCUUAUUGCCCUUAUGAAUGGAGACAGGAAAGGUGAAAAGUGAGAGAUGACAUAAUAUGCUUUGCUUCAAUGGAGUAGGCAAUGAGACUUACUUCAAAAUUGGAAAUUAAAUUGGAGAUCUAAUUCAAUUGGAUUGGAGAGUUGUUGUUCUUCCUUAUCUCUGUUGAAUAGAGAUUUUUGUUAACCCAAUUGAGAACCCACCCACAACAAAUUUUGCAACCUAGAAUUCUCUGUGGCAGGGUGUUAAAGGUACCUAGGACAUAGUUCAGGAACAGUGGGCAGAAUGGCUCAACGCAGUCCAAAACACAGUUAUCUGGCAGAAGGAAAAAAUAUUGUCAAUGAAAGUUCAGUCCUUAGAACUAUUUGUCAUUCCCCAAGGCAUAUUGGAGUAUCUAUGUUUUAUAUCUUAUCUUUUAAGAAAAAACUGCUUCCAAGAAGGACUAUAAAAGAUUCUUUCAUGGAAGAGAGAAGAGGGAAAACUACCAAUUAAAUAAGAUUAUAGCUUUUCAAGAUUUUUUUUUUUUAAAGAUUUCCUAUGUGGGUCAUGGAGAUGUAUUUCAGUAUCACUUGUGGCUUACUAGUGCAGUUUAACUUUAACUUUUAUGGUCUUGGAGUGAUUCAGACACCUGCUCACUUUGUCAGGUAUUUGUUAGUAGACUCAGGUACUUAAAGGAACAAGUUGACAACCUCCCAGUGGACAAGAGUCUGGCCUUUUGAGUGAAGUAGCAACUUUAAAAAAAAUCAUGGGAUUGGCUAGAUUGGGCUAGUCUUUUUUAAAAUUUUAAGUAAAAAACUUUUUUCUUUGAUAAUAAAAGUAACGGAUAGUCAUCAUUUAAAUGAUACAGUGAAAAGUAUACAUUAAAAAGUAAAGAACAUGUAUAAAUUUAUUAGCCAUAAAACAAUAAUUUGUAACAUUUGGGUUUAUUUCCCUUAAAGUCUCAAAAACUAAGUGUAUUUAAUAUAAUUUUAUAACAACUGACAUUGUAUAUGUUUUUUCCAUUUGAAAAUUGACAAGCAUAUUUCCAUGUCAUUAUUGUUGUUUGAGAAACAAAACAUUAAGUGCUAAAUAGUAUAUGGCUCUAACAAAUUUUAUUUUGAUGAUACCAGGUUGCUGCACAUUUUGGAUAUUGCAAAUAUUGCUUAUAAAAUUUAAAUGUAAUGAAUAUCAUUGUAAAUUAAUGUUUCUAUGUAUCUCUUUAAAAUAAAUUUCUAAAAAAUUGGUAUUAUUUGGUUUGAAUGAUGAGAACAGUAUUAGAACAUCAAUUCAAAGAUGAUGUUUAAAUUGUUCUCAGUAAAGUUGUAGGGAUUAUAUUCCUACCAGUCAUGUACAAAUGUGAAUAUUUCUUUACACAUUCAUCAAAGCAUGGUUUUUCUAUUUGUAAAUCUCUACUCAUUUGAUAGAUAAAAAUGUACUUUUGUUGUCUUUAAAGUUUUAUUUCUAAUUUAUGCACAGUAAACAACUCUCUGUAUGUCAUAUAGUUCUAUGGAUUUUGACAAAUGCAUGUAGUCAUGUAUAUUCCAAUCCAUUCAGUUUAUCAAUCCAAUUAUUCCAAUCCAAUUCAGUUAUCAAUUUAAUAAUUUUUAUAUUUGAUCCAUUUCUACCCCACAAAUCUGGACACCAUUGAUUUGUUUCCAUCCCCAUGGUUUUGCCUUCAUCAGAAGGUCAUAUAAAUGGAAUCAUGCAAUAUGUGGACUUUUUGUCUGGCUUCUUAUUCACUUAGUAAAAUGCAUUUAAGCAUCA